GUGGGGAAUAUUGCACAAUGGGCGCAAGCCUGAUGCAGCGACGCCGCGUGGGGGAUGACGGCCUUCGGGUUGUAAACUCCUUUCGUUGGGGACGAAGCCUUUUUUAAGGUGACGGUACUUGAAGAAGAAGCACCGGCUAACUACGUGCCAGCAGCCGCGGUAAUACGUAGGGUGCAAGCGUUGUCCGGAAUUACUGGGCGUAAAGAGCUCGUAGGUGGUUUGUCGCGUCGUCUGUGAAAUUCCGGGGCUUAACUCCGGGCGUGCAGGCGAUACGGGCAUAACUUGAGUGCUGUAGGGGAGACUGGAAUUCCUGGUGUAGCGGUGAAAUGCGCAGAUAUCAGGAGGAACACCGAUGGCGAAGGCAGGUCUCUGGGCAGUUACUGACGCUGAGGAGCGAAAGCAUGGGUAGCAAACAGGAUUAGAAACCCUAGUAGUCC
Molecule: ribosomal RNA, 437 nt
Filed under: uncultured bacterium
Lineage: Bacteria
Description: bacterial SSU rRNA
Rfam family: Bacterial small subunit ribosomal RNA
Source: RNAcentral